Molecule: microRNA, 21 nt
Filed under: Ophiophagus hannah (king cobra)
Lineage: Eukaryota; Metazoa; Chordata; Lepidosauria; Squamata; Elapidae
Description: oha-miR-196a-3p
Gene: oha-miR-196a-3p
Source: miRBase by way of RNAcentral
CGCAAGAACAUAAAACUACCU